UUACGUGGGUUUACGUACAUUUUACACGGUUUUACACACGUUCACUGGGGUUUACAGUGGUCUUACACAGGUUUCACAUGGGUUGUACAUGGGUUACAUGGGCUUGCACUGGUGUGACACUGGUCUUACAUGGGUUUACACGGGUUUUACAUGGGGUUACACUGGUCUUACAUGGGUUUACAUGGGUUUACACUGGUCUUACAUGGGCCUACAUAUGUUUUACCUGUGUUUAUGUAGGUUUACUUGGCUUUCACAUGGGUUUACUCAAAUUUACACAGGUUUACAUGGGUUUACAUGUUUACAUGGGCUUUACAUGGGCUUUACAUGGUCUUACAUGGGUUUACACAGGUUUUACAUGGGUUUACAUGGUUUUAUAUGGGUUUACACUGGUUUUACACGGCUUUACGCUACUUUUACACUGGUCUUACAUGGGUUUAUACACGUUUUACAUGUGUUUAUGCAGGUUUACUUGGAUUUUACACAGGUUUACUCAAGUUUACACGGUCUUACAUGGGUUUACACAGGUUUUACAUGGUUUUAUAUGGGGUUACACUGGUUUACAUGGAUUUAUAUGGGUUUUACAUGGGUUUACACUGGUCUUACAUGGGUUUACACGUUUUACCUGUGUUUAUACAGGUUUACUCAAGUUUACCUGGUCUUACAUGGGUUUACAUUGGUUUUACAUGGGUUUACAUGUUUACACGGGUUUUACAUGGUCUUACAUGGAGUUACAUGGUCUUACAUGGAGUCUUACAUGGGUUUACACGGGUUUUACAUGGUCUUACAUGCGGUUACACUGGUCUUACAUGGGUUUGCAUGGGUUUUACAUGGGUUACAUGCAGUUACACUGGUCUUACAUGGGGUUACACUGGUCUUACAUGGGUUUUACAUGGGUUACAUGGGUUUUACAUGAGGUUACACUGGUCUUACAUGGGGUUACGUGGGGUUUAUGUGGACUUUACAUGGGUUUCUGCAUUUACUUGGGUUUACACUGGUCUUACAUGGGUGUACGCAGGUUUUACAUGGGUUUCACAUGGGUUUUACUGGUCUUACAUGGGGUUACACUGGUCUUACAUGGUCUUUACAUGGGUUUACAGUGGUCUUACAUGGGUUUACACAGGUCUUACAUGCGUUUACAUGGGUCUGACGUGGGUUUACACUGGUCUGAUGUGGACUUCACAUGGGUUUGCACAUUUAGGUGGGUUUACACUGGUCUGACAUGGGUUUACACUGGUCUUACAUGGACUUUACAUGGGUUUGCACAUUUAGGUGGGUUUAAAGUGGUCUUACACAGGUUUUACAUGGGCUUACACUGGUCUUACAUGGGGUUACACUGGUCUUACAUGGUCUUUACAUGGGUUUACAGUGUUACACGGGUUUACACAGGUCUUACAUGCGUUUACAUGGGUCUGACAUGGGUUUACACUGGUCUGACAUGGACUUUACAUGGGUUUACACAUUUAGGUGGGUUUACACUGGUCUGACAUGGGUUUUACAUGGGGUUACACGUGUCUUACAUGGGUUUACACUGGUUUUACACGGGUUUUACAUGGGGUUACACGGGUUUCACGUGGGUUUACUGGUUUACGUGGGUUUACACUGGUCUUACACGGGUUUUACAUGGAUUUACACGGGUUUUACAUGGACAUACACCCGUUUCACAUGCUUUUACGCUGG
RNAcentral lists this long non-coding RNA (1677 nucleotides) under Calidris pygmaea (Spoon-billed sandpiper). RNAcentral's name for it is "lncRNA (ENSCPGG00000012068.1)". The record is from RNAcentral. Lineage: Eukaryota; Metazoa; Chordata; Aves; Charadriiformes; Scolopacidae.